This 484-nucleotide ribosomal RNA is filed under the name uncultured bacterium. RNAcentral describes it as "partial 16S ribosomal RNA". It matches the Rfam family "Bacterial small subunit ribosomal RNA", at positions 30 to 507 of the family's 1533-position model. The record is from RNAcentral.
AUUGAACGCUGGCGGCAGGCCUAACACAUGCAAGUCGAGCGGAUGAAGGGAGCUUGCUCCUGGAUUCAGCGGCGGACGGGUGAGUAAUGCCUAGGAAUCUGCCUGGUAGUGGGGGAUAACGUCCGGAAACGGGCGCUAAUACCGCAUACGUCCUGAGGGAGAAAGUGGGGGAUCUUCGGACCUCACGCUAUCAGAUGAGCCUAGGUCGGAUUAGCUAGUUGGUGGGGUAAAGGCCUACCAAGGCGACGAUCCGUAACUGGUCUGAGAGGAUGAUCAGUCACACUGGAACUGAGACACGGUCCAGACUCCUACGGGAGGCAGCAGUGGGGAAUAUUGGACAAUGAGCGAAAGCCUGAUCCAGCCAUGCCGCGUGUGUGAAGAAGGUCUUCGGAUUGUAAAGCACUUUAAGUUGGGAGGAAGGGCAGUAAGUUAAUACCUUGCUGUUUUGACGUUACCAACAGAAGAAGCACCGGCUAACUUCGUG